AUACGGAGGGGGCUAGCGUUGUUCGGAAUUACUGGGCGUAAAGCGCGUGUAGGCGGAUCGUUAAGUCAGGGUUGAAAGCCCGGGGCUCAACCCCGGAACUGCCCUUGAUACUGGCGAUCUAGAGUCCGGAAGAGGUGGGCGGAAUUCCCGGUGUAGAGGUGAAAUUCGUAGAUAUCGGGAGGAACACCAGUGGCGAAGGCGGCUCACUGGUCCGGCACUGACGCUGAGACGCGAAAGCGUGGGGAGCAAACAGGAUUAGAAACCCCAGUAGUCC
RNAcentral lists this ribosomal RNA (274 nucleotides) under uncultured bacterium. RNAcentral describes it as "partial 16S ribosomal RNA". It matches the Rfam family "Bacterial small subunit ribosomal RNA", at positions 523 to 796 of the family's 1533-position model. The record is from RNAcentral.